Arvicanthis niloticus (Nile rat) is the source of this 474-nucleotide non-coding RNA. The record is from the annotation of a RefSeq genome assembly. NCBI's taxonomy places the organism in Eukaryota, Metazoa, Chordata, Mammalia, Rodentia, Muridae.
AUGCUCCUGGUGCUCCUCCCAGUGCUGGGGAUACACUUUCUCCUACGAGAAGCCCAAGCUCAGUCAGUGACUCAGCCUGAUGCUCAUGUCACUGUCGCUGAAGAAACCUCUCUGCAGGUGAGAUGCAAGUUUUCCUCCCCUGGGGAACCUUAUCUGUUGUGGUAUGUCCAGUACCCAGGACAAGGGCUGCAGCUGCUCCUCAAGAACUAUCCAGGAGACUCAGUGGUUCAUGGCAUGAAUGGCUUUGAGGCUGAGCUCAACAAGAGUGAGUCUUCCUUCCACCUGCGGAAAGCCUCUGCGGACUGCAGCGACUCGGCUGUGUACUUCUGCGCUCUGAUCGCACAGUGUGUGGGGCUGCACGGGGAGCUGAACAUAAACACCCAUGGCCGUGGUUACUUUGAGUGGAGCAGCAAUGAACAGAAGCAAGAGUCUGUGGAGAAGGAUGUAGAAUUCUUUGGACAUAUGCUGAAGUAG